Molecule: long non-coding RNA, 15993 nt
Filed under: Triticum aestivum (bread wheat)
Lineage: Eukaryota; Viridiplantae; Streptophyta; Magnoliopsida; Poales; Poaceae
Description: long non-coding RNA (TAES_LNC015131)
Rfam family: MIR1120/MIR1122 microRNA precursor family (bases 4485-4619)
Source: RNAcentral
UUAGACCGAUCAAGGCGAGAGACAUGGGUGGCAAGGGCGGCGGUGGAGGUGGCGGCAAAGGGGGAGGAGGAGGCGGUGGCGGUGGAGGUGGAGGCGGCAGGAGCGUCGGAGGGGGAGGAGGAGGAGCAAAGGGAGGCGGAGGCGGAGGCGGAGCGAAGGGGUCAGGCGGCAGCGGGGGCGCCGGGAAGUCGUCCGGCACUGGCGGUGGCAGCGGCGGCAUGAUGAAGGCGCCCGGCGGCGACGGCGCCUACAUCUCCCGUCCCGGGUUCGAGUCCAACCCGCAGGGCUACUUCCAGGGCCUCCACGGCGCCGGAGGAAAGUAGCCGGAGACUGGGAGCGCUCUUCCCGUCUUCCGUCAGUCAGUCAAUCAGUCAGUGGAGCUUCUCGUCACUCGUCCGCAGCUUAAUUCGGCCAUGCAUGCAUGUUUACGCAUUGGCUUCUAAAUAAUGUAACCCCGUCAGAGCAGCCUGCAUGCUAGUCCAAGUCGGUCUCGUUCGCAGCGUUCGCUUGAUUGUAAUGGAAGUACUGAUGAACCAUGCCAGCAAUGAUCGUGGAAAUUAAGUCAUCGAUUGUUCAUGUUUGACUGAUCGUGUGGUGGCCUUUUCCUACUCAUCGCCUUCGUGUUUGGUUGAUCGUGUGAUGGCCUUUUCGUACUCAUUGCCAUAUGCCCAUAUCGUGAGUUAAUCGAAGUGCAUGCGACCGAUAUUUUCUUAGGUGCAGAAGUGCAUGCGAUUUAUCGCCGCUAAGCAAUUUUGGAUGCAUGCCAUUUCCAGACAACGAAGUUAAUCCGAAUUACUCUGUAUAUUAGUAAAUUAUACGCUUGCUUAAGCAUUGCAUACGAUGAAAAUACUUUCUGCCUGAUGCUCACGCACUACUCCCUCUGUCCUUGCAAUAAGAAAAUAUCAAAAACGUUUUUAUAUUAUAAGAUGGAGGGCGUAUAUGAUGUACUCAUUACAGGAUAUGAAUUUAGCGCACAUGACCAAGUCAACUUUUUCUGCAACACCAACAUCAAGAAGUGAUACUCGUCAUCACGCUGGCGUCUCCAUGGCAAGCCAAAGAGGGCUGACAAUGUCUUGGGCGUUGCGUCAAUAAUGUUUUCGUGUCUCUGAUGAUGCUUCGAAUGUCUACAGGCAGCAUGGAGCAUUGCUCAAGGCAUGCCGUUGGCGAAUGCAAGAAAAAGACGACGUCAAUUCUCCAAGGACUCUUGUGUAGUUUUAAAUCUGUGUAAGGAUAGCCAUUGUAAAGAACGGUCAACUUUAAUAUAUGGAGUUUCGUAUUUUUCACGAAAAAUAGUUUAUCGCUUUCUUUUAAUGUUCAUGGAUGGUAUCUCGAUGUACAAUUUAGACCUAGCUCAACAUUUGCAGCACCUAACUACCGCCUUCCACUUUUUAAGGAAACACGAGCUCUAUGCCAAAUUGCCCAAAUGCUCUUUUGCACAACCUCACCCCUAAACACAUCAUAUCUGAUAAAAGCGUAGCCACAAACUUUGUAAAAACUUAGGCCAUAGUAUAAUGGCAUACUCACACAAAUAUAAUUGAACUAGAUUUUCUAGACCCCAUUCUCCUUGCAAUAAGACUAGAUAUAUUGAAGAUUGAUUUCCGGGCGUAUGUCUCCUUAUCCCCCUUGAUUUUUCAAACUAACCCCCCUGAUUUUCAUUGUGAGACGCAACGUCAACCCAUAAACUCCUCCAAUACUGAAAUUUUUGUAGAUGUAGCAUUUCUGCUCCUUGCAACCUGGAGUUGCUGAGUCCACAUUUUUUCUAUAUUUUUUUGUACGAUUUGCCCACAUUGUGUUAGCUAGCACAAGGUAUGUGCUUCGCACAGAGCAAACAUCAGUCGUCAUGAACCUGAGUUGGCCUGAUUGGGACAAGGGUUGCUAAAGACAAAAAUGAUGUAUUGAUUGAAGACAUCGGUUUCUACUUUCUAAGACGCAAAGUUCGGGAUAUGGGACAAGAUCCGGGAGUGACUAGGAUGGAAACUGAGCAUCUUGUAAAAGAGAUUGAAAAUAUCAAUCCAAACCGUCGGAUUGGAAUCAGAUGGCCCAGAUCUUAGUGGAGGGAAUCAGAUGGAAUCAGAUGCAAAAAGGACUCUGGCUUAUAGUUAUUUUUUAGUCACUAUCCUUCUUCUUCGAGUCUCCUCCCCAACACAAGGUAGGCACCGAAAUUCGCCAAUAAUGGUGAACCGCCCCCUUUGAGCCCCUCUCGCUUGCAGACGGCGACGGCGGUCCAGAUUCGUUGUCAAGCUCCGCCCUCACUAUGUGCCCUUUGCAUCCUCCUCAUAUGAGGCUGCACCAUCUCAUGUACGGCAAUCCAAUGGUGGUACGUCUUCCCCCUCUCAAGAUCUAGCAGCAGUUCGUUGGCGACAAGUCGGUGGUGAGCUCCUCACUUCCUUUCCUUCUGAAACUCAGGUUCAAGCUCAAGGUUUUUUUUUGCAGUGCUCUGUUGUCAGUGACAUUGCUCAUGACUUAAUGGUGAGGCAUGAUGAUACGCCUAUGAUUGACAAAGGAAACUCACAAGGCUUGUCCUUGUUAACAUAGACUACAAUCAUAUUAAAGUGAGUACACUAAUUCAUUAAUUAUAUUGUCCUUUUUAGGGAAUUAAUUAUAUUGUCUUGAUAAGUAUCCUCUCCACCUGAACUAUUUUAGCCAUGCUCAAAAGGUAGUCUUUUUAGUUAAGUUGCUUCAGCAUGAACCUUGAAAGAAUGUGUUUGAGGCCAACUUGUAUGUGAGGUUAACAUGUAUUUCCUUUCUGUUUCACAAUGUUGCAUUUAUUGAAAAGUGUUGUCAAUGCUUGCAAAGUUUCACAGUGAAAUGACAUUUGUAGAUUUUUUGCCACGGCUUCCGCAAAUGUCAUUUCAUGAUGCAAAUUUACAAGUACUUGAAACAUUUAUCAAUGUUUUCCACCAAGCAAUUUCAGAAUUUUCAUUUUUGUCGGAAUUUACUGUUCAUCCUGAGCUAACUUUUUUCGUUUAUAGCGGCGCCAUUUUCGUUUAUAAAAAGCCGAUGGUGAUUGCUAAAGAAAAAAGAGCUCACUCAUUGGCGCCUAGCUACCUUUCGAUUACAGUAAUCUCCACCCACUCCACUGCCAAGUGCACAAGCAAAAGUCGAACGGUCCCAAGCUCUCGGCAUGGCCUCCGCCGGCGAGCACACGGUGCCCCUGCUCUACCGCCCACCUCCCGAGGUCUCGUCCCCCUCUCCUCUGCCUCCCUCGUGAUAAACUCUUUUCUCUCUGAUUCGAUUUUGACCCAUGGAUGAUGUCUGGCUCCUAAUUUUGGUGGGGAUCGCCGUCGCAGGCAGCGGAGGCAUACACCACCGACGGGUCUCUUGAUUUCGACGGGAACCCGGCGGUGAAGAAUCGCACGGGUGGAUGGCGCGCAUGCCGCGCAGUCCUCGGUAAUCUAUUUCUUGUUCCUGUUGAGAUUUCGACGGCAUAAAAUUCUCUAGGCAAUUCACCUGUUCUUGGCAACUCGCACAGGUGGAUGGCGUGGUGAUUAAUUCGGUUCCGGCCGCAUCUUGGAACGAUGAUGUGCAUGCAGGUACCGACUUCUGCUACUGCCUGGCCUUCCACGGCAUCUCCUACAACCUCGUCACGUACCUCACGACCGUCCUGGGCCAAACCAACGUCGCCGCCGCGAGGAGCGUCUCCACCUGGAAGGGCACCUGCUACCUCACUCCCCUCGCCGGCGCCGUCGUGGCUGACUCCUACUGGGGAAGGUACCGCACCAUGGUCGUCUCCUGCUCCGUCGGCGUCGCAGUACGUUCCUUCCAACCACUCUGCACAGCAACCAAUAACCACUCUCCACCAGAGUCUGAAUCUCUAUGUCAUGUCCUAGUGGAGCAACUCAGUUGAGAAAAUUCAGACUUGAAUUCUGCAAGAUUGUGAGAAUUUGGCCUCAAUAUUUUUGGGCAGGGCAUGCUCAUGGCAGCACUCUCGGCUUACCUGCCGCUGCUCGUCAAGAACGGCUCGUCGUUCACAGGCCUCACCUCGUCCAACAUCGUGUCGGCUCAGGAGUACAUCUUGUUUCUGGGCCUCUACAUGGUUGCCUUUGGGUUAGGCGGCCUCAGGCCGUGCCUGAUGUCCUUCGGCGCCGAUCAGUUCGACGACGGCGAUCCAUCGGAGCGCGUGACGAAGGGCUCCUUCUUCAACUGGUACGUCUUCAACAUGUACUGCGCAUCGCUGGUAUCCAGCACCGGCAUCGUGUGGGUGCAAGAUCGUUACGGCUGGGCGCUAGGGCUGACCAUCCCGGCGGCCGUCCUCGCCGUCGGGCUUUCAUGCCUGGUCGUCGGAUCGCGGACGUGCAGGUUUCACCGACCCCGCGGCAGCCCACUCACCAGAGUGUGCCAGGUCGUCGUCGCUGCCGUGAGAAAGUUUGGCCUCGAGCCGCCGUCCGACAGCUCUCUUCUCUACGACCCGUGGGAAGAGGACCUCGCAGUUCACAGGAUCGAGCAUACCACUGAUCUCCGGUCAGUUACCACAAUCCUGUUUUCUUGUACUUCCUCCGUCCGAAAAUACUUGUCAUCAAAAUGAACAAAAAGGGAUGUAUCUAGAACUAAAAUACAUCUAGAUACAUCUCCUUUUAUUCAUUUUGAUGACAAGUAUUUCCGGACGGAGGGAGUAGUUGCUUUCGUCAAAUUCACCGUUCAAUACAAAUGUGCUGCUUGCCUGAUCAGAUUCUUCGACAAGGCCGCCGUUAUCGUGGCUUCGGGCAAGGAGGUGGAGACGGCAGCCGGCCGGACGCCACACAGCCCGUGGAAACUCUGCAUCGUGACGCAGGUCGAGGAGACAAAGAUUCUCGUGCGGAUGCUUCCGCUCUGGGCGACCGUCGUGUUCUUCUAUGCCGUGUUAGCGCAGGUCUCGUCGACAUUCGUCGAGCAAGGCAUGGCGAUGGACGCCGCCGUCGGCUCCGUGCGCGUCCCGCCCGCGUCCAUGUCCACCUUUGAGGUGCUCACCAUCAUCGCCCUGGUCCCGCUCUACGACCGGGCAUUCGUUCCUGCUGCCAGGAGGCUCACGGGGAGGGAGAAGGGCAUCUCAGGGCUGCAGAGGAUCGGUACCGGCCUCGCCAUGCCCGUGCUCGCCAUGGCCGCCGCGGCGCUUGUCGAAACAGCACGCCUCCGAGCGGCAAAGUCGUCGCCGCUGUCACCGAAUGCGACUAGCGUGCUGUGGCAGGCGCCCCAGUACGUGCUGAUGGGCGUGGGCCAGGUCCUCACUACCAUCGGGCAGCUCGACUUCUUCUACAGCCAGGCGCCGGCCGCGAUGAAGACCGUGUGCACGGCGCUCGGGUUCCUCGCGAUAGCGGCCGGCGAUUACCUGAGCUCAUUCCUACUGACGGUCGUGCAGUGGGCGACGUCGAGGGGCGGCACGCCGGGGUGGAUCCCCGACGACCUGAACGAGGGUGACUUGGAUCGCUUCUUCUGGAUGAUGGCCGUACUGGGCUGCGUGAAUCUGAUGGCUUUUGUGAGCUGCGCCGCGAGGUACAAGGAAAAGAAUCCAAUAAGACCUGGUCUUAUUUCUGAGCAAGUGAGACCAUGUUGACAACAAUCUCAAAGCACCAUAGUCUUCUUGCUCGAUUUGAUACAUUUUGCAGUUAAUUUAGUUUGCAUUAGUGUAGUGUAGUGUCAAAAAACGAUUUACAUUAUGGGACGAAGGGAGUACAUGUUUCCGUACUUUCCCCUCCCGAGCCACUCGAGCGGGCGGCAACGGAGGCCCCAAUGUUGGAAAUAUGCCCUAGAGGCAAUAAUAAAAGCAUUAUUAUUAUAUUUCCUUGUUCAUGAUAAUUGUCUUUAUUCAUGCUAUAAUUGUAUUAUCCGGAAAUCGUAAUACAUGUGUGAAUAAUAGACACCAAUAUGUCCCUAGUAAGCCUCUAGUUGACUAGCUCGUUGAUCAACAGAUAGUCAUGGUUUCCUGACUAUGGACAUUGGAUGUCAUUGAUAACGAGAUCACAUCAUUAGGAGAAUGAUGUGAUGGACAAGACCCAAUCCUAAACAUAGCUUAAAGAUCGUAUAGUUCGUUUGCUAGAGUUUUCCAAUGUCAAGUAUCCUUUCCUUAGACCAUGAGAUCGUGUAACUCCCGGAUACCGUAGGAGUGCUUUGGGUAUGCCAAACGUCACAACGUAACUGGGUGACUAUAAAGGUAGACUACGGGUAUCUCCGAAAGUGUCUGUUGGGUUGACACGGAUCAAGACUGGGAUUUGUCACUCGGUAUGACGGAGAGGUAUCACUGGGCCCACUCGGUAAUGCAUCAUCAUAAUGAGCUCAAAGUGACCAAGUGUCUGGUCACGGGAUCAUGCAUUACGGUACGAGUAAAGUGACUUGCCGGUAACGAGAUUGAACGAGGUAUGGGGAUACCGACGAUCGAAUCUCGGGCAAGUAACAUAUUGAUUGACAAAGGGAAUUGCAUACGGGGUUGCUUGAAUCCUCGACAUCGUGGUUCAUCCGAUGAGAUCAUCGUGGAGUAUGUGGGAGACAACAUGGGUAUCCAGAUCCCGCUGUUGGUUAUUGACCGGAGAGUCGUCUCGGUCAUGUCUACAUAUCUCCCGAACCCGUAGGGUCUACACACUUAAGGUUCGAUGACGCUAGGGUUGCAGGGAUAUGUAUAUGCAGUAACCCGAAUGUUGUUCGGAGUCCCAGAUGAGAUCCCGGACAUCAUGAGGAGUUCCGGAAUGGUCCGGAGGUAAAGAAUUAUAUAUAGGAAGUGCUGUUUCGGCCAUCGGGACAAGUUUUGGGGUUAUCGGUAUUGUACCGGGACCACCGGAAGGGUCCCGGGGGUCCACCGGAUGGGUCCACCUGCCCCGGGGGGCCACAUGGGCUGUAAGGGGGUGCGCCUUGGCCUACAUGGGCCAAGGGCACCAGCCCCAAGGUGCCCAUGCGCCUAGGGUUUCCAAAGAGGAAGAGUCCCACAAGUGGAAGGCACCCCUAGGUGCCUUGGGGGGGAGGGAAACCUCCCUUGGCCGUCGCCCCCCCUAGGAGAUUGGAUCUCCUAGGGCCGGCGCCCCCCCCUUGGCCCUCCUAUAUAUAGUGGGGGAAGGAGGGCUUUUCAUCUAUGCCUUUGGUUGCCUCCUUCUCCCUCUCCAACACCUCCUCCUCCUCUAUAGCGCUUGGCGAAGCCCUGACGGAGUACUGCAGCUUCAUCACCACCACGCCGUCGUGCUGCUGCUGGAGCCAUCUUCCUCAACCUCUCAUUCCCUCUUGCUGGAUCAAGAAGAAGGAGAGGUUACGCUGACCGUACGUGUGUUGAACGCGGAGGUACCGUCCGUUCGGUGCUAGGAUCUCCGGUGAUUUGGAUCACGUCGUGUUCGACUACCUCAUCCCCGUUCUUUGAACGCUUCCGCUCGCGAUCUACAAAGGUAUGUAGAUGCAUCCGAUCACUUGUUGCUAGAUGAACUCCUAGAUGGAUCUUGGUGAAACCGUAGGAAAAUUUUGUUUUCUGCAACGUAACUCAAAACAGUGGCAUCAUGAGCUAGGUCUAUGCGUAGUUCUCUUGCACGAGUAGAACACAAUUUGUUGUGGGCGUUGAUGUUGUCAACUUUCUUGCCGCUACUAGUCUUAUCUUGCUUCAAUGGUAUUGUGGGAUGAAGCGGCCCGGACCAACCUUACACGUACGCUUACGUGAGACCGAUUCCACCGACUGACAUGCACUAGUUGCAUAAGGUGGCUGGCGGGUGUCUGUCUCUCCUACUUUAGUUGGAGCGGAUUCAAUGAAAAGGGUCCUUAUGAAGGGUAAAUAGAAGUUGACAAAUCACGUUGUGGCUUUCACGUAGGUAAGAAAGCGUUCUUGUUAGAACUCUACUUCAGCCACGUAAAACUUGCAACAACAAUUAGAGGACGUCUAACUUGUUUUUUGCAGCAAGUGCUUUGUGAUAUGAUAUGGCCAAAGUUGUGAUGAAUGAUGAAUGAUCUAUAUGUGAUGUAUGAGAUGUUCAUGCUAUUGUAAUAGGAAUCACGACUUGCAUGUCGAUGAGUAUGACAACCGGCAGGAGCCAUAGGAGUUGUCUUUAUUUUGUAUGACCUGCGUGUCAUUGAGAAACGCCAUGUAAAUUACUUUACUUUAUUGCUAAACGCGUUAGCCAUAGUAGUAGAAGUAAUAGUUGGCGAGCAACUUCAUGGAGACACGAUGAUGGGGAUCAUGAUGAUGGAGAUCAUGGUGUCAAGCCGGUGACAAGAUGAUCAUGGAGCCCCCAGAUGGAGAUCAAAGGAGCUAUGUGAUAAUGGCCAUAUCAUGUCACUAUUAUUAUUUGAUUGCAUUUGAUGUUUAUCAUGUUUUGCAUCUUGUUUACUUAGAACGAUGGUAGUAAAUAAGAUGAUCCCUCAUAAUAAUUUCAAGAAAGUGUUCCCCCUAACUGUGCACCGUUGCGACAGUUUGUUGUUUCAAUGCACCACGUGAUGAUUGGGUGUUUGAUUCAAACGUUCACAUACAACGGGUGUAAGACAGAUUUACACAUGCAAACACUUAGGUUGACUUGACGAGCCUAGCAUGUGUAUAGACAUGGCCUCGGAACACAGAAGACCGAAAGGUCGAGCAUGAGUCGUAUAGAAGAUACGAUCAACAUGAAGAUGUUCACCGACGUUGACUAGUCCGUCUCACGUGAUGAUCAUACACGGCCUAGUUGACUCGGAUCAUGUUAUACUUAGAUGACUAGAAGAGGGAUGUCUAUCUAAGUGGGAGUUCAUUGAAUAAUUUGAUUAGAUGAACUUUAUUAUCAUGAACUUAGUCUAAAAUAUUUACAAUAUGUCUUGUAGAUCAAAUGGCCAACGUAGUCCUCAACUUCAACGCGUUCCUAGAGAAAACCAAGCUGAAAGACGAUGGCAGCAACUAUACAGACUGGGUCCGGAACCUGAGGAUCAUCCUCAUAGCUGCCAAGAAAGAUUAUGUCCUACAAGCACCGCUAGGUGAUCCACCCGUCCCACAGAACCAAGACGUUAUGAACGCUUGGCAGACACGUGCUGAUGACUACUCCCUCGUUCAGUGCGGCAUGCUUUACAGCUUAGAGCCGGGGCUCCAAAAGCGUUUUGAGAGACAUGGAGCAUAUGAGAUGUUCAAAGAGCUGAAAAUGGUUUUUCAAGCUCAUGACCGAAUCGAGAGAUAUGAGGUCUCCGACAAGUUCUUCAGCUGUAAGAUGGAGGAAAAUAGUUCUGUCAGUGAGCACAUACUCACUAUGUAUGGGUUACAUAACCGCUUGACUCAGCUGGGAGUUAAUCUCCCGGAUGAUGCGGUCAUUGACAGAAUCCUCCAGUCGCUUCCACCAAGCUACAAGAGCUUUGUGAUGAACUUCAAUAUGCAGGGGAUGGAAAAGACCAUUCCUGAGGUAUUUGCAAUGCUGAAAUCAGCAGAGGUAGAAGUCAAGAAGGAACAUCAAGUGUUGAUGGUAAAUAAAACCACUAAGUUCAAGAAGGGCAAGGGUAAAAAGAACUUCAAGAAGGACGGCAAGGGAGUUGCCGCGCCCGGCAAGCAAGCUGCCGGGAAAAAGCCAAAGAAUGGACCCAAGCCCGAGACUGAGUGCUUUUAUUGCAAGGGAAAUGGUCACUGGAAGCGGAACUGCCCCAAAUACUUAGCGGACAAGAAGGCCAGCAAAACAAAAGGUAUAUAUGAUAUACAUGUAAUUGAUGUGUACCUUACUAGUACCCGUAGUAGCUCCUGGGUAUUUGAUACCGGUGCAGUUGCUCACAUUUGUAACUCAAAGCAGGGGCUGCGGAAUAAGCGGAGACUGGCAAAGGACGAGGUGACGAUGCGCGUCGGGAAUGGUUCCAAGGUCAAUGUGAUCGCCGUCGGCACGCUACCUCUACAUUUACCUUCGGGAUUAGUUUUAAACCUUAAUAAUUGUUAUUUAGUGCCAGCUUUGAGCAUGAACAUUGUAUCGGGAUCUCGUUUAAUUCGAGAUGGCUACUCAUUUAAAUCCGAGAAUAAUGGUUGUUCUAUUUAUAUGAGAGAUAUGUUUUAUGGUCAUGCUCCUAUGGUGAAUGGUUUAUUCUUAAUGAAUCUCGAGCGUAAUGCUACACAUAUUCAUAGUGUGAGUACCAAAAGAUGUAAAGUUGAUAAUGAUAGUCCCACAUACUUGUGGCACUGCCGCCUUGGUCACAUAGGUGUCAAACGCAUGAAGAAGCUCCAUGCGGAUGGACUUUUAGAGUCUCUUGAUUACGAAUCAUUUGACACGUGCGAACCAUGCCUCAUGGGUAAGAUGACCAAGACUCCGUUCUCAGGAACAAUGGAGCGAGCAACCAACUUAUUGGAAAUCAUACAUACUGAUGUGUGCGGUCCAAUGAGUGUUGAGGCUCGCGGUGGCUAUCGUUAUGUUCUCACCCUCACUGAUGAUUUAAGUAGAUAUGGGUAUGUCUACUUAAUGAAACACAAGUCUGAAACCUUUGAAAAGUUCAAGGAAUUUCAGAGUGAGGUUGAGAAUCAACGUGACAGGAAAAUCAAGUUUCUAUGAUCAGAUCGUGGAGGAGAAUACUUGAGUCACGAAUUUGGCACACACUUAAGAAAAUAUGGAAUAGUUUCACAACUCACGCCGCCUGGAACACCUCAGCGUAAUGGUGUGUCCGAACAUCGUAAUCGCACUCUAUUAGAUAUGGUACGAUCUAUGAUGUCUCUUGCCGAUCUACCGUUAUCUUUUUGGGGCUAUGCUUUAGAGACUGCCGCAUUCACUUUAAAUAGGGCUCCGUCGAAAUCCGUGGAGACGACACCGUUUGAAUUAUGGUUUGGGAAGAAACCUAAGCUGUCGUUUCUAAAAGUUUGGGGAUGCGAUGCUUAUGUCAAGAAACUUCAACCUGAAAAGCUCGAACCCAAGUCGGAAAAAUGCAUCUUCAUAGGAUACCCUAAAGAAACUGUUGGGUAUACCUUCUACCUCAGAUCCGAAGGCAAGAUCUUUGUUGCCAAGAAUGGAUUCUUUCUAGAGAAAGAGUUUCUCUCGAAAGAAGUAAGUGGGAGGAAAGUAGAACUUGAUGAAGUGUUACCUCUUGAACCGGAAAAUGGCACAACUCAAGAAAAUGUUCCUGAUGUGCCUGCACCAACUAGAGAGGAAGUUAUUGAUGAUGAUCAAGAUACUUCUGAUCAAGCUCCUACUGAAAUUUGAAGGUCCACAAGGACACGUUCCGCACCAAGUGGUACGGCAACCCUGUCUUGGAAAUCAUGUUGUUAGACAACGGUGAACCUUCGAACUAUGAAGAAGCGAUGGCGGGCCCGGAUUCCGACAAAUGGCUAGAAGCCAUGAAAUCCGAGAUAGGAUCCAUGUAUGAAAACGAAGUAUGGACUUUGACGGACUUGCCCGUUGAGCGGCGAGCCAUAGAAAAUAAAUGGAUCUUUAAGAAGAAGACAGACGCGGAUGGUAAUGUGACCAUCUAUAAAGCUCGGCUUGUCGCUAAGGGUUAUCGACAAGUUCAAGGGGUUGACUACGAUGAGACUUUCUCACCGGUAGCGAAGCUGAAGUCCGUCCGAAUCAUGUUAGCGAUUGCCGCAUUCUAUGAUUAUGAAAUAUGGCAAAUGGACGUCAAAACGGCAUUCCUUAAUGGUUUCCUUAAGGAAGAACUGUAUAUGAUGCAGCCGAAAGGUUUUGUCGAUCCUAAGAAUGCUGACAAGGUAUGCAAGCUCCAACGCUCGAUUUAUGGGCUGGUGCAAGCAUCUCGGAGUUGGAACAUUCGCUUUGAUGAGAUGAUCAAAGCAUUUGGGUUUACGCAGACUUAUGGAGAAGCCUGUGUUUACAAGAAAGUGAGUGGGAGCUCUGUAGCAUUUCUCAUAUUAUAUGUAGAUGACAUACUUUUGAUGGGAAAUGAUAUAGAACUCUUGGACAGCAUUAAGGCCUACUUGAAUAAGAGUUUUUCAAUGAAGGACCUUGGAGAAGCUGCAUAUAUAUUAGGCAUCAAGAUCUAUAGAGAUAGAUCAAGACGCCUCAUAGGUCUUUCACAAAGCACAUACCUUGAUAAGAUAUUGAAGAAAUUCAAUAUGGAUCAGUCUAAGAAGGGGUUCUUGCCUGUGUUACAAGGUGUGAAAUUGAGCUCAGCUCAAUGUUCGACCACGGCAGAAGAUAUAGAAGAGAUGAGUGUCAUCCCCUAUGCCUCAGCCAUAGGUUCUAUUAUGUAUGCCAUGCUGUGUACCAGACCUGAUGUAAACCUUGCCGUAAGUUUGGUAGGAAGGUACCAAAGUAAUCCCGGCAAGGAACACUGGACAACGGUCAAGAAUAUCCUGAAGUACCUGAAAAGGACUAAGGAAAUGUUUCUCGUUUAUGGAGGUGACGAAGAGCUCAUCAUAAAGGGUUACGUCGACGCUAGCUUCGACACAGAUCUGGAUGACUCUAAGUCAUAGACCGGAUACGUGUAUAUUUUGAAUGGUGGGGCAGUAAGCUGGUGCAGUUGCAAGCAGAGCGUCGUGGCAGGAUCUACAUGUGAAGCGGAGUACAUGGCGGCCUCGGAGGCAGCGCAUGAAGCAAUUUGGGUGAAGGAGUUCAUCACCGACCUAGGAGUCAUACCCAAUGCGUCGGGGCCGAUCAAGCUCUUCUGUGACAACACUGGAGCUAUUGCACUUGCCAAGGAGCCCAGGUUUCACAAGUAGACAAGGCACAUCAAGCGUCGCUUCAACUCCAUUCGUGAAAAUGUUCAAGAUUAAGACAUAGAGAUUUGUAAAGUACAUACGGACCUGAAUGUAGCAGAUCCGUUGACUAAACCUCUCCCUAGGGCAAAACAUGAUCAACACCAAAAUUCCAUGGGUGUUCGAUUCAUCACAAUGUAACUAGAUUAUUGACUCUAGUGCAAGUGGGAGACUGUUGGAAAUAUGCCCUAGAGGCAAUAAUAAAAGCAUUAUUAUUAUAUUUCCUUGUUCAUGAUAAUUGUCUUUAUUCAUGCUAUAAUUGUAUUAUCCGGAAAUCGUAAUACAUGUGUGAAUAAUAGACACCAACAUGUCCCUAGUAAGCCUCUAGUUGACUAGCUCGUUGAUCAACAGAUAGUCAUGGUUUCCUGACUAUGGACAUUGGAUGUCAUUGAUAAUGAGAUCACAUCAUUAGGAGAAUGAUGUAAUGGACAAGACCCAAUCCUAAACAUAGCUUAAAGAUCGUAUAGUUCGUUUGCUAGAGUUUUCCAAUGUCAAGUAUCCUUUCCUUAGACCAUGAGAUCGUGUAACUCCCGGAUACCGUAGGAGUGCUUUGGGUAUGCCAAACGUCACAACGUAAUUGGGUGACUAUAAAGGUAGACUACGGGUAUCUCCGAAAGUGUCUGUUGGGUUGACACGGAUCAAGACUGGGAUUUGUCACUCCGUAUGACGGAGAGGUAUCACUGGGCCCACUCAGUAAUGCAUCAUCAUAAUGAGCUCAAAGUGACCAAGUGUCUGGUCACGGGAUCAUGCAUUACGGUACGAGUAAAGUGACUUGCCGGUAACGAGAUUGAACGAGGUAUGGAGAUACCGACGAUCAAAUCUCGGGCAAGUAACAUAUCGAUUGACAAAGGGAAUUGCAUACGGGGUUGCUUGAAUCCUCGACAUCGUGGUUCAUCCGAUGAGAUCAUCGUGGAGUAUGUGGGAGCCAACAUGGGUAUCCAGAUCCCGCUGUUGGUUAUUGACCGGAGAGUCGUCUCGGUCAUGUCUACAUAUCUCCCGAACCCGUAGGGUCUACACACUUAAGGUUCGGUGACGCUAGGGUUGUAGGGAUAUGUAUAUGCAGUAACCCGAAUGUUGUUCGGAGUCCCGGAUGAGAUCCCGGACAUCACGAGGAGUUCUGGAAUGGUCCGGAGGUAAAGAAUUAUAUAUAGGAAGUGUUGUUUCGGCCAUCGGGACAAGUUUCGGGGUUAUCGGUAUUGUACCGGGACCACCGGAAGGGUCCCGAGGGUCCACCGGGUGGGUCCACCUGCCCCGGGGGGGCCACAUGGGCUGUAAGGGGGUGCGCCUUGGCCUACAUGGGCCAAGGGCACCAGCCCCAAGGGGCCCAUGCGCCUAGGGUUUCCAAAGGGGAAGAGUCCCACAAGUGGAAGGCACCCCUAGGUGCCUUGGGGGGGAGGGAUACCUCCCUUGGCCGCCGCCCCCCCUUGGCCCUCCUAUAUAUAGUGGGGGAAGGAGGGCUUUUCAUCCAUGCCUUUGGUUGCCUCCUUCUCCCUCUCCAACACCUCCUCCUCCUCUAUAGCGCUUGGCGAAGCCCUGACGGAGUACUGCAGCUCCAUCACCACCACGCCGUCGUGCUGCUGCUCGAGCCAUCUUCCUCAACCUCUCCUUCCCUCUUGCUGGAUCAAGAAGAAGGAUACGUUACGCUGACCGUACGUGUGUUGAACGCGGAGGUACCGUCCGUUCGGUGCUAGGAUCUCCGGUGAUUUGGAUCACGUCGUGUUCGACUACCUCAUCCCCGUUCUUUGAACGCUUCCGCUCACGAUCUACAAAGGUAUGUAGAUGCAUCUGAUCACUCGUUGCUAGAUGAACUCCUAGAUGGAUCUUGGUGAAACCGUAGGAAAAUCUUGUUUUCUGCAACAUUCCCCAACACCCAACCCUAUCCUUGAAACCCCUCCCUCCUUGAGAUCCCCUCGCCGCCGCUGCCGCUGUGACGGCGGUGGUGGUGGAGCCCAGCCGUCAAAGGCGGCGGACGUGGUCGGUGAGCCCUGACGGGCCUCCCUCGCGUGGGGGUUAAGCGUCAUGCGGGGCGACGCGGGUGAGCUUCUCCAGUGCGGUGGUACAGAGGCGAGCGGUGGUGCGGUGGAGCGCGGUAGGGAGCCUGUAGAUCAGGUGUAGGCGGCUGGUGCGGUCCGGGACGUGCACGCAUGGGAGAUGGCGGAUGCGGCGUGGCGCGGCCAAGGAGGCAGCGGUGCAGUGGCGCUUGGCCAGGUGAGCGGUGAUGGCUGCCUGGUGUGGGGCCUGGGUCCUGUUGUGGUGGCUCAAGGAGGUGAGCGAUAGUGGCCUCCUGGUGGUGUCGGUGCUGUUGUUGGAGGCGGAUGUGCAAUCUGGAUAUGGAUAUGGGGUUCAAGAUCGACCUGGGGCCUUUUGUUGCCGUACCGGGGCUCAGUGUUGCGGCAGCUGCAUUGCCGCCUGUUGGGAGUUGGAGCUCUAGUUGUGCUGGUAGUGAAGGUUGCUCCGGAGGUGUGGGUUCUUUGUUGUGCGGACGCAGGAAGUUGGGUUGCGUGCCUUCGGUCGUGUGGGUUGACGGUGUUCCACCGCAUUAUGAUCUCAAUGGCAGGGUGUUGUGGUAGUGGUGGAGUGCCUCUACAUGGAUAGUGGCCCUAAACCGGUGGGUAGGGAUGGAGGUGCGCGACAUUACGGAUGAAAAUCCUGCCCGACUUCAGUCGGUGCUGGCGGCAACAACGCCUAUGGGUGUCGUUCCUCUCCUUGAAGGCGUCACAGAGGUGUGUCGGCAUCACCCCCCUCUCUCUCUCUCUCUCGCUUUGGGUUGUUGUCUCCGGGCGAAAGCCUUGGUUCAUUUUUAGAUCGGUGAUGGCGGCGUCUCGGCAUCGUUACUCUGUUGGGAGCAUCGUGUGAGGAGACACGGCUUCCAGGUUCUGUGCUACGGUUCUUCGGUGCUUGCUGCUGCUCCAGAUGGAUCAUCAUUGGUGCAAUGUACGUCGCUGCCAGGGAAUCAAAGACAAUGGCUUUUCGGGACCAAUCAAGUCCCGCCACCCACUCGCCAUCUCCUAUUAGGCAUUCAAGGGUGGCUGGUGCAUCGGCAUGGGAGGUCCAGUUGCCGUUGUUGCUCUUCGAGGUGACUUGUACUGGUCGAGACGUGGCUUUGUUUUUUUUCUUUGCUUAGGGCAGGUUCCUCGCAUUGUGUUGUUAGGUGUGUGGUGGCUAAUCUUCUAAUUGGAUGUGUGUCCUACACAUGCUGUUCGCAACUGAGAGGUGGUCUCUUAUAAUUGUCUUCUGUCUUCUAUAAAAGUAUAGUACAUAGUGACGUACUCUUGAAAAAUAAAUACAUUUUGCAAUUCUAAAUUUGGUCAAUGUCCGUGGGCGCUAAAGGAAUAUGGUGUGGCUAGGUCCCAGUCGACUGAGAUUCAAUCAAGUCUCAGUUAAAUGACAUAAUAUGUAAGAAAAAAACUGAAAAGAAAAAA